GACGAACGCUGGCGGCGUGCUUAACACAUGCAAGUCGAGCGGUAAGGCCCUUUCGGGGUACGACGAGCGGCGAACGGGUGAGUAACACGUGGGUGACCUGCCCUUAGCUCUGGGAUAAGGCCUGGGAAACCUGGGUCGUAAUACCGGAUAUGACUCCAUGACGCAUGUUGUGGGGUGGAAAGCCUUGUGCGGCUGAGGAUGGGCCCGCGGCCUAUCAGCUUGUUGGUGGGGUGAUGG
Molecule: ribosomal RNA, 237 nt
Filed under: uncultured bacterium
Lineage: Bacteria
Description: partial 16S ribosomal RNA
Rfam family: Bacterial small subunit ribosomal RNA
Source: RNAcentral